UACGAAGGGUGCAAGCGUUACUCGGAAUUACUGGGCGUAAAGCGUGCGUAGGCGGUUCGGUAAGUCCGUUGUGAAAGCCCUGGGCUCAACCUGGGAAUGGCAGUGGAUACUGGCGAGCUAGAGUGUGAUAGAGGAUGGUGGAAUUCCCGGUGUAGCGGUGAAAUGCGUAGAGAUCGGGAGGAACACCAGUGGCGAAGGCGGCCAUCUGGAUCAACACUGACGCUGAGGCACGAAAGCGUGGGGAGCGAACAGG
Molecule: ribosomal RNA, 253 nt
Filed under: uncultured bacterium
Lineage: Bacteria
Description: partial 16S ribosomal RNA
Rfam family: Bacterial small subunit ribosomal RNA
Source: RNAcentral